Molecule: ribosomal RNA, 300 nt
Filed under: uncultured Ignicoccus sp.
Lineage: Archaea; Thermoproteati; Thermoproteota; Thermoprotei; Desulfurococcales; Desulfurococcaceae
Description: bacterial SSU rRNA
Rfam family: Bacterial small subunit ribosomal RNA
Source: RNAcentral
GCUAACUUGGGGGCGUCGGCGGGGGUAAAACAGGUGUGGGAAGUGUGGUUCGGAAGUAUUGGGCGGAAGGGGAGUGUAGGCGGUUUGCUAAGGCGUCUGUGAAAUCUACGGGCUUAGCCUGGAACGUGCAGAGGAAACUGGCAGGCUUGAGUGUCGGAGAGGAUAGGGGAAUUCCCGGUGUAGAGGUGAAAUUCGUAGAGAUCGGGAGGAACACCAGUGGCGAAGGCGCCUAUCUGGCUGACAACUGACGCUGAGACUCGAAAGCAUGGGGAGCAAACAGGAUUAGAUACCCUGGUAGUC